AACGAAUGGUUCACGGCUCCUGGUAGCCUU
RNAcentral lists this small RNA (30 nucleotides) under Bombyx mori (domestic silkworm). RNAcentral's name for it is "ovarian small RNA-10382". The record is from RNAcentral. Lineage: Eukaryota; Metazoa; Arthropoda; Insecta; Lepidoptera; Bombycidae.